Molecule: transfer RNA, 72 nt
Filed under: Camelus bactrianus (Bactrian camel)
Lineage: Eukaryota; Metazoa; Chordata; Mammalia; Artiodactyla; Camelidae
Also listed under: 2 other names
Rfam family: tRNA
About the family: Transfer RNA (tRNA) molecules are approximately 80 nucleotides in length. Their secondary structure includes four short double-helical elements and three loops (D, anti-codon, and T loops). Further hydrogen bonds mediate the characteristic L-shaped molecular structure. tRNAs have two regions of fundamental functional importance: the anti-codon, which is responsible for specific mRNA codon recognition, and the 3' end, to which the tRNAs corresponding amino acid is attached (by aminoacyl-tRNA synthetases). tRNAs cope with the degeneracy of the genetic code in two manners: having more than one tRNA (with a specific anti-codon) for a particular amino acid; and 'wobble' base-pairing, i.e. permitting non-standard base-pairing at the 3rd anti-codon position.
Source: Rfam by way of RNAcentral
GAGGGUAUAGCUCAGGGGUAGAGCAUGUGCCUAGCAUGCAUGCAGUUCUGGGUUCAAUUCCCAGUACCUCCA